Non-coding RNA from Chelonia mydas (Green sea turtle), 452 nucleotides. NCBI's taxonomy places the organism in Eukaryota, Metazoa, Chordata, Testudines, Cheloniidae. The record is from the annotation of a RefSeq genome assembly.
CCCGGAGACACAAUCCGCAGCCCCCUGGGUCGGUGCAGUCACCAGCCAGUCCCCUGAGAACUUUCCCCUCCAGCACCCGGCAAAAUGGGAUUUUUGAUCCUUGUCAUUGUCGCUCUAGCAGCUUUGGAAGGUGUCCGGUCUCAGACGCUGGUGGAGUCCGGAGGGGAUGUGAAAAAGCCCGGAGACUCUCUCCGCCUCUCCUGCAAAGCCUCCGGCUUCACCUUCAGCAGCUACUACAUGAGCUGGGUCCGCCAGGCUCCCGGGAAGGGAUUAGAAUGGGUCGCUUAUAUAAGAUACGAUGGGAGUACUAUAUACUACCUCGAUGCAGUGAAAGGGCGAUUCACCAUCUCCAGGGAUAACGCCAAGAGUGAGCUGUACCUGCAAAUGACCGGCCUGAAGCCAGAGGACACCGCCCACUAUUACUGCGAGGGAGACACAGUGACACCAAACCG